AAAUAAGCAGGGGCAAGUUGCCUGUGUGAGGAUGCCUCUCGUAACCUUCAGGGAUAUAAUAAUAAUUGUUAUUGGGUGAACCUCUGUUAUCUGUUUGUGACAGAAAGGUUCAGUAAAUGACGGAACACAA
This is a non-coding RNA of Glycine soja, 130 nucleotides long. The record is from Rfam. Lineage: Eukaryota; Viridiplantae; Streptophyta; Magnoliopsida; Fabales; Fabaceae.